UUCCUACGGGACGCAGCAGGGAAUCUUCCACAAUGGGCGAAAGCCUGAUGGAGCAACGCCGCGUGGGUGAAGAAGGUCUUCGGAUCGUAAAACCCUGUUGUUAGAGAAGAAAGUGCGUGAGAGUAACUGUUCACGUUUCGACGGUAUCUAACCAGAAAGCCACGGCUAACUACGUGCCAGCAGCCGCGGUAAUACGUAGGUGGCAAGCGUUAUCCGGAUUUAUUGGGCGUAAAGAGAACGCAGGCGGUCUUUUAAGUCUGAUGUGAAAGCCUUCGGCUUAACCGGAGUAGUGCAUUGGAAACUGG
This 305-nucleotide ribosomal RNA is filed under the name uncultured bacterium. Its description in RNAcentral is "bacterial SSU rRNA". It matches the Rfam family "Bacterial small subunit ribosomal RNA", at positions 336 to 636 of the family's 1533-position model. The record is from RNAcentral.